GAUUUAAUUUCUCUCUUUACAUCAUAAUGUCUGCGCAGUUUUGUAGGGCUGUUGGACUUGACCAUCCCAUACGAAAUGAGAGUGAUAAAGUUACUGACUUACCACAUCCUGUAAGUAAUGGAAUUGGGUAUAGUCUUCAUCGAGAAAUGGAGAUGAUGUUUGUGAGUUUAUAGGGUAAAUGGGUCAGGAUAGGGUGCUUUGCAAGUAUUUGAUGAAUGACCCAGUUCUCCAAUUUGCGAAUAGACGUGCAAUUUUGGACUUUUUUUGUGCUGUUGCAAAUAGCGAGGCGAGGCUCGAAUCGGCGUGAGUUCUUUCUUGGGUGUUCUUCCUUUUUUUUUUUCUGGGGGAAAGGAAGAAAAUGGAGAGGACAAAGCUAUCGUUGGAUAGAUGCUCAAGAACACUCAGACUUCACUUGCAGAAGAACAAGAACGCAAUCGCCAGUUGACAAAGCCUGUAACUGCUGAAAAGAUGGAAACAAGAAAAGCAGAGCUUGAGACUAACCUUGCAACUAAUCUCAAGAGGCAGAAGCAAGAGUAUGAGGCUAUUAUAUCCUCAUCAGAGACUGAUUUGCAUGAAAAUGAAGCGGAAUCAAAGUGGUAGGAGCUAAAAGAUACUAAAUCAUUGGUCAUUGAUGCAACCCAGCGAUUAGAAGGAAUUAAUAGAAGUACAGAGGAAACAAAUAAGCAAAUCAAAAAGAUCAAAGAUGAGAUGGCAAAGUUGAAGGCUUUGGAGGACACCUAUGAGAAAACACUUCAGGAUGAAACUAAAGAACUUGAACAACUCUUUAGCCGGAGGAAUACUCUUAUAGCUAAAAAGAUGAGUACUCAAAAAAGAUAAGGAACUUGGGCCCGUUAUCUUCUGAUGCUUUUGAGACGUAUGUUCCCUUGUCUAACUGUGAAAAUGUUUUGACUUUGAAAAUGCUUUUGAGGCGUAUGUUCCCUUUGCUACUGAAUUUUAAUUUGGUUUCCACUAUUGAAGCUCAUCAUACCUCAUUUUAUAUGUUUGAGAUUAUAGGUAUAGACGGAGGAGCAUCAAAGAGUUGCAGAAGAUGCUUCACAGAUGCAACGAGCAGCUCCGAUAGUUUAGUCAUGUAAACAAGAAAGCACUUGAUCAGUACGUGAACUUCACAGAGCAAAGGAAGUGAGCAUCUCACAUGGACCGUGUCUUUAGUUUUGUUCAGUAUUUAUAUGAUGGAGAUUGUCGCUAAAAGCCAGAUAUUCUUUUUUGAUUCAUUUCUGUCGUCAUUGUUUAUUGUGCAAGAUUAUUUAUUAUGCAAGAUUAUUUAUUCUCUCAUUAUGUGUACUAUAAAGAAAAAUAUUUAUGUCAUUCUUGUGGAAAAUGUAGAUGAA
This is a long non-coding RNA of Syzygium oleosum, 1349 nucleotides long. RefSeq lists it as uncharacterized. The transcript is spliced from 5 exons. The record is from RefSeq and is a predicted model, not a curated record. Lineage: Eukaryota; Viridiplantae; Streptophyta; Magnoliopsida; Myrtales; Myrtaceae.